RNAcentral lists this unclassified non-coding RNA (328 nucleotides) under Zea mays. RNAcentral's name for it is "misc RNA Zm00001eb133790". Lineage: Eukaryota; Viridiplantae; Streptophyta; Magnoliopsida; Poales; Poaceae. The record is from RNAcentral.
GACGAAAUCGAAGAGCAGGGGGCCAGCCAGGGAGCAGGGGCACGGCUAGAAGAAAGGGAGGCAGUUGGCGUGCUCCGGGCGGUCCUCGACGGCGGCGCUUUAGUGGUCCUCGAUGGCGAUGGCGCUCCAGCGGCUCCGGUCGUUGGUGAGCAGGGCGUCGGCGAGAGCGGCGAGAGAGGAGAUGGCGUGGGGCGAGCUUGGGUGGCCGGGGAACGGAUCCAUGGGGGCUCGGCGUCGAUAUUUAUAGAGAGAAAGGAGAGGGAGAGAGAAAUCCGGGAAGGGAGAGGUCGGCGGCUGCCAUUAGUGGCGCCGGCCGUUUCCCUCGGAG